Long non-coding RNA from Neofelis nebulosa (Clouded leopard), 5281 nucleotides. RefSeq lists it as uncharacterized. The record is from RefSeq and is a predicted model, not a curated record. NCBI's taxonomy places the organism in Eukaryota, Metazoa, Chordata, Mammalia, Carnivora, Felidae. The transcript has 3 exons.
UUGUAUCCCACAGGCUCUAAAAUGAUGUAAUUCUUUGCCACAUAGUUCUAGAUAUUUUGCUUUUUGCAUUAGGAUUUCAGGUUUAAUCCAUAAAUUGCUGAAGAUAUAUUAAUAAGUAUCUUUACUCUGUGUAUUCUUAGUGGGCCACAACUAAUUCACCUUUUAGAUAUAACAUGGCACAGCAUAUAGUAGAUAUUUCCUGAAAGCUGGUUUAAGUGAACUGAAUCUUUUUUGAAAUCACUUAGACUGACAGAAGUGAGUCUCAAAUAUACAUCUCUUGAUUUUUUUAGUCAGAUUUAUUGAGAAAUAAUUUACUUAUAAUAAAAUUCACCCUGUUUAUAAACUUGACACAUGUAUACAGUCAUGCAACCACUACCACAAUUAGGAUAAAGAUGAUUAGCUCCCCACAAAGUUCUUUGUUUCUUUUGUAGUCAGUUCCCCCCCCCAUCUCCAGGCAACCAUUGAACUCUUUUUGUCAGGAUAGUUUUGCCUUUCUAGAAUGUCAUAGGAAUAGAAGCAUAUAGUAGGUAGCCUUUGUGUCUUCCUUCUUUCACUCAAUGCAUUUGAGAUUCUUCCAUGUUGUUACAUGUAAUAGUAGUUUUAUUCCUUUUUAUUGUUGAGUAGUGUUCCACUAGUUGGCUAUGACAUAGUUUAUUAUCCAUUCGCCAGCUGAUGGAUGUUUAGUUUGUUUCCAUUUAGGUAGUUUUUAGCAAUUAUGAGUGAGGCUUCUAUAAACAUUCGUGUACAGGUUUUGUGAGGACAUAAGUUUUUAUUUCUCUUGGGCAAACACCUAAGAGUGAAGUUGCUGGAUGUUCUGAUAAUUGUGUGUUAGUGGUGGGGAUUGGUGGUGGAAGAGGAGUGGAUAGGCUCUCUGAUGUCCUACUGCAGGAUAGUGUUUCCUGGUCCUUCCAGCAGUGAUAGCACACCUGUAACACAUUAACAUAAUAUCAUGGGGCUGACUCCAUACUGUUUCCUGACCCCGCUCCAGGGCCAAAGGAGUUUUUCUUCUACAUUUUCCCAUCAGCAGUGGGUCUUUACCUGUGCCUGGUAGUGACAGAGUUUUCUCUGCCCCUCUCACAGAGGUUUAAGGUUUUGCUACUUAUGAGAGGAUGGUCUGGGCAGGGUGUCUGGGGUUCAUGCUUUCCCCACAGCAGCAGUCCCUGUCUUCCAGCUGGCCGUACCACACAAGGGACUCUCUCAGGUUGUCUACUGUGCUAUCAUCUUUCUCAUGAGCACCUGCUGGGGUCCACGGAAAAGAGCCUGGGAGUAAGUACCAAUUCCUCUUAUGUCCGGGGCUGCCAGGGGUUUCAUACUGUCAUACUACCCACACUCAACCUUUACCAAUUCUUUAAAGGUUUGGUUGAUGUUUUUUUAAACUCAGUUGUAGUGUGGUCAGUGCUUUUUCUCCCAUUCUCUGCCACCUGUGAGCCAGUCCAUGGGUACUUGAUUCAAUUUAAUUUUAUUCAAAUAUAAACUUAAACUAAAAACAAUUCAGCAUAGUUUAAUUUCUUGUAUUGCCUUUCUAUUGGGGCAUUAAUGGAGGGAAAGUUAGAUGAUUGGGAGGAUCAAAAUCUGAAUCCAAAGAGAUGUGUUCUCAAACUAGCCUCCCACAGACACUGGGGUUUGGCUACAAAAUUUGACUGAGUUGCUUUUUUCCCAAAUACUCAGAAAAUAGUUAAAUUUAUGGGCUGAAUUUUCUGAAUUCUAAGAUUCUACCUCAUAAUUUGUUAUUAUUAUAAAACCUUGGUAACUGCUGCUGAUUGUUUGCUCAGUGGUACAUGCAGCUGGGUAAACAAUGAGCAUGAAAAUGGCAAAUUGGACAUCCAAUCAAGCUUUUUCAUCACUUUAUAAGGAUGUGGAAAGUCUUCCAGGACUGAUUUGAAAAUAGCUGAAAUAUAUCCUGAAGAAUUUUCAACUUUUGCAAAAUUCAAAUUUUUAUUACUAUUAUGAUCCUUACCUUAUGGAUAAGGAAACUGAGGCACAGAGAGUUUAAGAAACUUGACAAAGCUGCAAAGCUAGUUGGUGGCAAAGCCAGGAUAUGGACCAAGACAGGCUGGAUCCAGAGCAUAUGCUAUUCUACCGUGUUGCAUUUUCACUAAAUUCAAGGUAAGUGUUUGAAAUCUGGGGCAUGGUCAAACUCUCCUUUUCCAGGAGAGUUUUUGUAUGAUCAGAUAAGGUCAUUGUAUUCAUCCAUUUGUUAAAUGUAGCAACAAGAUUAUAAUUUUUUUUUGAACAUGGAUAUGUUCCGAAUAUAGGUAUAAUUUGAGUGCUAGAACUGUCUCAUCCUCUUACUAGCUGUGUGAAUAUGGGUAUACUCAGAUUCAUCACUUGAAACAAAGGAACAUUACCACUUGCUUGACAUGCCUUGCAAAUUAUUGGGAGAAAAAGAGCUGGGAAGUGUGAAUUCAGGACGCAUUAAGAACAUUUGCACCAUGAAAAUGAAGCAAAUUGAAACCAACACCAGCUUCUCACAACCUUUUGCCAUCUCAUUUUCCUGGUUUUGUCCUGUCUAAUUUAGAUCAUAAACCCUCCAGUCAGAAACCAUCACCUCUUUAUACAGAGUACGAUGACUGGUGUCACUAUUUAAUAAAAACACAAGAAGCAGCUGCAAAGGUUUGAAAUUAAAUCUACAAACGUAAGGUGAAAGUUAUAUUGAGUUCCAACGGUAGGUCAUUAUGGCAAAAUUAAGAUAAGGACAUGGAUUUGUUUUCUUAAUUUUCCUAAAACUGGUGUAAUGUAGCAAUUAAGAGAAUGUGGUCCAGAGUCAGGUUUCCUAUGUUACAAUUCUAACUUGGCCUCUUACUAAUUAUAUAAUGUUUUGAACACACUAUAUUUUAUAGAUUCCAUAAAAUACAAUAUUUUACAUUUUCACAUCUCAGAAAUUGAGAUUAUUUAUACAAGGAACAGUAUUUUAUGAUUACCAUUGCCCACAUAGCAGCUAAGAUACAGCUGGCAUUGCCUGAACAUGUGCACACACACACACACACACACACACACAUGCACACACACACGCACACACACAUACAUAUUUGGCCAUUGCUGUUCACGUUGUCGUGAGUUUACCUGAGUUAUAGGCAUUGGUGUUAAUGCACGUGCUGAGGUAAUUUGCUAUUUAAACUGUCUUGAGAAAAAUUUCACAGUGCAUUUGGCUUUAAGAUAAAAAGUUAUUGUAUAUGCAGAAACAAAGCAGUGGGGCUUAAAUUUGUUAUUUGUGAAGCAACAAUUCAUCACUGGAAGAAUGACUGUUAUGCCAGGUUUUCUUGCAAAGAAAAAAGAAGGGGGCUUUAUGAUAUCCAAGAAAGGAAAGUACCCUCAGGUAGCUGAAACUGUGUUCCUUUUGUUACUGAGGUGCAGCAAAAGUAUUGCUUAUCACACACCAAGUCAUGCAACCAAAAAGCAGGAGAAAUCCCAAAUCCCUUGGUAUAUGGAGAAAAAAAUUGCAAGGCAGUGAGAGGCUGGUGUGACAGAAGAGCACUUUCAACAAGUAUAAAAUAAAAAUCUGAAGUGGCAAGAAAAUAUUAUAUCACAGUUUGGCAGCAUUUCCCCCCCUUUUUAUUUGUAUAUUUAAAAAAUCAUAUAAUGUGCUCAUGACUUCCUUGAAAUGUGAAAUACAGAAUACCUCAUUAGCUGUGUGAGAAUUAAAUGAAAUAACAUAGGUGAAGUGUUAUUGGUGUGCUUGACACAUAGUAAGUGUAUAAUACAUGUUGGCCAUUAUUAUCAUCAUCAAAUUACAAAGGCCUUUCAUUUUUGUAUCUGCUCUCUAAUAGAUUAAUGGGGAUUAGAAACAAUUCAAGUGGGAUAUGUUUCAUUUGAAAAUAAAAUGUGGUUUUGUGAUCUCAGGGAGAGCUGGGGAAAGUUUAAUAGGCAAUAUCAGGUGUUUCACAAGUGGGAGGGAUGAGUGAAGUGAGAACUUUUCACAGUGUGGCCAACAUGGGAUGACUUUUCCUGUCGUGGACUGGAAGUUAUAUGGUACUACCCUAAGAAAUUGCUUCCUGGCAACAUGAUAGAUACAGCUUCAGCCGUAUUUCCUUAACCAACAAAAUUGCAGACAUUUCUAUGUACCACUUUGGUGUUUUAUUCGAGAGUGUAGUGUUAAUUUCAGCGUACCACUUCACACACACACAAAAAAAAAUUCAUGGCUUUAGAAAUUGUGAUUUUAGCAGCUAUUUGGAGCUGCAAGUACAUUUAAGGAUUUUAUUGAAAAGUUCUCAAGUAAACAAAUGUGGGCCUCGGCUCAGUGAAUUUACACAAUGUUCAAGUACACAGAUGAAUUCAACCUCUGAAUUUUAAUUUUCAUCUAACUUGAGCUGUUGCAUUCCUCAAAACAUAAAAGGAAGAAUUUAUAAAGUCAUGAGUGACGCUAAUUGGGAUGUGAUUUUUUUUCAGAAUCCAUUUCCUGGUUAGAAAGUCAACAUUUUGAGAUACUUUCCCAAAAUAUCUUUCAGAUUGUGUUCAAGAGUCUCUAUUAAAAGUUAAUUCUUUUUUUCUUUAACAAAUUAACUUUUGAAGUCUGAAAUAUCUACUUGAAUAUAUUUGAUUUUUAUUUAUCAAGAUAACUAAAGUAAAGGCAUGUCAUACACCACUCCUCUUUCGCUCACUACAUUUUUUAAGUUCAUGUUUGUGAAGGACAAGCAAAGCUUGUGUGUAUUUGAUUUUUGUCACUUUUGUUAUUUCAAGAGUACAAAGAUGAUAACACAAGAUAUUUGAGACCUUAGGAUUGAAAAUCUCUCUUAAGGCCAGAGGAAUUAUGGAAAUUUCAGUGCACAAACAAUUCUGGGCUUAUUCAUUUGGCCAAAUUAGUUUGUCUUGUUUUUGCAUUAUAAUUUUGAUUGCUGCACUCCAGUGUCUUUUCUGUCCCUGAAAACUAUCUAGAAAUAUUUGGCUAUUAUCGUAAUAAUUGUGUCACGAGACAGUUGUUCUAGUAAUAAAGUUAACCAGUCAUGAUAGAGUGCCUCUGGACAAGUGGACUUGUGUGUGUGUGUGUGUGUGUGUGUGUGUGUGAUUGCAAGUUAACUUGGUGUGUUUACUUAUUAGUCUUAACAAAGUUAUCCUCUUAAAAAGUGGGGAGGAAAGGGGGCACCUGGGUGGCUCAGUCAGUUAAGGGUCUGACUCUUGAUUUUGGCUCAGGUCAUGAUCUCACGGUUCAUGAGAUCGAGCCCUCAUCAGGCUUGAUCAGCGUGGAGCCUGCUUGGGAUUCUCUCUCCAUCUCUCUGUCCCUCCCAUCUCUCAAAAUAAAUAAAUAAACUAAAAAAAGAAAAAGUGUGGAGGGAAGAAAAAUGCU